AGCAAAGACAAAUCUUUUAUACUGGGUCUGUGAGUUCGGUUUCGUAACCAUCGAUUUGAAGAAUAAGUCGUAAAAAGUAUGUAGGUUUUAGUGGAUGUAGGGAAACUGUUUUGUUAUCUUUCAUGUAAGUGAGUGAGAGAGCUUCCUUUUGUAGGACCGCUGUCGAAAUACUUUAUGAAGUAGUUUCUAACUGUACGUUACGUAGAGGGAUACUUUUCAGUCUUCUCUUGUUUUUGUAGAGUUCACCCUUGUCAAUUCAUAUUGACGUAUUACUUUUAUAUUCAGUCUCACAUGACCAUGAAAUCUGCAAAAGAUUAGAAUCGUUAAAUUGAGAAAUGAAUAAAAUUAGCACGAGAUCAAGUCGCUUAUAGUUUAUAGUCAUAUUGGUGGCUCAAAGGAUUCAAAUGAGUGUGGACUGUAUUCAGAGAUUGCCAGAGCUAGAUGGCAUCAAGAAAUUUGGACUUUUAAGAAGGAAAGGGGUGGUCUAUUAAAUGCGCAGCGUAGUCAUGAUUUUUGGUUUGUCUGGUUCCAGUGGUUUUUUGUACUUUCAUACUGAUUGGAUAAGUCGGAAAUAGGAAUUGGAUUGCAACUGAAGAUUGUGAUAAUUGGUAUUUAAUAUAAUACUAUAAUAAUUGUUAUUGCCAUUAAUAUUAAUAGCAAUGAAAGCUAGGCUAUAUUGAAUAACAAUGAGAAGAAUUAAAACAAUCUUCAAGUAUUAAAUUUAAACUGUAAUUGAAUUCGGUUUGAACGUGCCAAUAAAUUGUUCGUCGAGUGAUUUAUCUCUCCCGCAUGAUAUCCUUUACGAAAUGUAUUCCGACUUUAACAGAAUGUUAGACAUUUUAAGUUACCGGGCUGGUUGUUACUGAACAAAACUGUGAUAUUUCGUUAAAGUUAGUAACGCAGUAAAUUAUAUAACUUCGGCAUAGAAAAAUAUUUAUAUGGUAGGAAAUAUGUAUUUUAAAGAAAGAAAAAAAACUACAGGGUGUCCUGUAAACGGAUGAUAAUAUAAAACGGCAAUACAAUGAAGCUCUGAUUGUGACAGUAUUGUAGAAAAGAAUCAAUGCUCUAUUUGCCAUAUGUACCAUUUACCAAAUAGAAUUUAAUUAAAAAAGGGUGUGUGUACUUAUGUACGCGCGUAAGAAAAUAUACUUUAUUUUUAUUAAA
Molecule: long non-coding RNA, 1164 nt
Organism: Bombyx mori (domestic silkworm)
Lineage: Eukaryota; Metazoa; Arthropoda; Insecta; Lepidoptera; Bombycidae
Exons: 2
Source: RefSeq, a predicted model, not a curated record